Molecule: ribosomal RNA, 660 nt
Filed under: Microchloropsis gaditana
Lineage: Eukaryota; Eustigmatophyceae; Eustigmatales; Monodopsidaceae
Description: SSU rRNA
Rfam family: Bacterial small subunit ribosomal RNA
Source: RNAcentral
ACGCGUGAGAAUUCGCCUUUAGGAGGGGGAUAACGGAUGGAAACAUUCGCUAAAACCCCAUGUGCCCUCGGGUGAAAAAGAGAAAGUAAGUCAUACUGAUUUAUCUCUGCCUGAAGAGAAGCUCGCGGCUGAUUAGCUAGUUGGUAGGGUAAAGGCCUACCAAGGCGACGAUCAGUAGCUGGUCUGAGAGGACGAUCAGCCACACUGGAACUGAGACACGGUCCAGACUCCUACGGGAGGCAGCAGUGAGGAAUUUUCUGCAAUGGGCGAAAGCCUGACAGAGCAAUACCGCGUGGGGGAUGAAGACUUACUGAGUUGUAAACCUCGGUACCCUAAGGAAGAAGAUAUGACGGUACUUAGGGUGGAAAGCAUCGGCUAACUCCGUGCCAGCAGCCGCGGUAAGACGGGGGAUGCAAGUGUUAUCCGGAUUUACUGGGCGUAAAGCGUCUGCAGGUGGUUUCUUAAGUCUACUGUUAAAUCUUGAGGCUCAACCUCAAAUCUGCAGUAGAAACUAGGAGACUUGAGUAUAGUAGGGGUAGAGGGAAUUUCCAGUGGAGCGGUGAAAUGCGUAGAUAUUGGAAAGAACACCGAUGGCGAAGGCACUCUACUGGGCUAUUACUGACACUCAGAGACGAAAGCUAGGGGAGCAAAUGGGAUAAC